CUGCUGAGCCCAAGAAAUGUGGGGCUUCUGGCAGACACAAGGCCAAGGGAGUGGGACUUGCUGCUAUUCUUGCUACGGGAGCUGGUGGAGAAGGGUCUGAUGGGACGGAUGGAGAUAGAGGCCUGCCUGGGCAGCCUCCACCAGGCCCAGUGGCCAGGGGUAAGGAGUCUCCUGUCUUUUAGGUGGAGAGAGAACAGGUGUUACAUAUCCCAUCUGUCCUGAAAGGAAGCAAGUGAUGGGGCCAAACUAAGUGGAUUUUUGUCAAGAGUCUUCAGGGCCACCCUGAAAUUGUCCCGAUUUGAGUAGUUAUUAUAUGAGGGACUGUGUUAGUGGGAAGACGGACGAAAGGCAGGCAGUUAGUUGGAAAGCAGCACAGCCCAUUAUAUGGGUUUUUAAAAUUAGAAUAAC
RNAcentral lists this long non-coding RNA (408 nucleotides) under Homo sapiens (human). RNAcentral describes it as "non-protein coding lnc-TTBK2-1:2". The record is from RNAcentral. Lineage: Eukaryota; Metazoa; Chordata; Mammalia; Primates; Hominidae.